GGCAAUGUCUCCAAAAAAAGUUGGUUCCCUGAGAAGGGGGCUACCGUGUGAGCACACUGUCUCUGAGAGUUUGUAAGAUGUAAGCAGGAAAUGAAGGCAGGUUCUGUGCUCUUCUCAGUCAGGAAAUACCAAACCUCCAGUGUGUAUUUAGAUGUCAAACGCCACAAAUAAGUUCUAAGUAGUUUAAAAUGUAAUUUUUGAGUGGUAUUAAAUUUCCUAUAGCCUGUUUAAAUCUAUAAUUUAACUUACCUUUCUGAGAACUCUAACCAUUUCCAUUUCCCUAAUUCUGUUCAUCAUUUAAAGUUGUGACUGUACCUAAUUUAGAUCUGAUGGGACCUUGGUCUAAAUUCAGAAGUGCACAGCUUUAGCAGCCAAGGAGGGCGCUCACUUUCCACGUGGAGGCUCUAAGGUCCUCCAGGGCAUCCCCCACCAUCAGCAGGUCGGUUCAUUUGUCACACUGAAUAACAGUAUCUCAGAUUCCAUCAGUUGGUAAAGUGUUUAAAAAACCUAUUAUUUUUCUAAAGGAAAUUUGAUGGUGUCAUGAAUAACCUGAUUGUUUUAAAAGGUCUUGUUUGUUUCCUGAGAGUUUGUCCUAAAAGGUUUUUGUUUUUUGGGUUUUUUUUUUUUUUAAUUUUAAAGGAACAUAUACUUUGAAUAACGAUCCUCCAGGCGUGGUGAGAAAAACCUAGGUGCUGGAAAUUGUCAAUAGGUUAAUAACCUAGGUGAGAAAAAACAUGGUGCUGGUAAUCGUCAAUAGGUCGAUGUAAGACUGGAUCAAUACUUGAUGUGUAUCAUUAUAGUAUGUAGGGGUUUUGUGCUUUUUUAAAAAAAAAUUCAACUUUUC
This 844-nucleotide long non-coding RNA is filed under the name Rattus norvegicus (Norway rat). RNAcentral's name for it is "long non-coding RNA NONRATT004144". Lineage: Eukaryota; Metazoa; Chordata; Mammalia; Rodentia; Muridae. The record is from RNAcentral.